GGCUCAGGACGAACGCUGGCGGCGUGCCUAACACAUGCAAGUCUAGGGAGAAGAGGGUAGCAAUACCUUGAGUAAACCGGCGCAAGGGUGAGUAACACGUAGGCAACCUGCCCUAAGGACGGGAAUAACUUCGAGAAAUCGAGGCUAAUACCCGAUAAUGCAGCGGCACCACAUGGUGACAGUUGUUAAAUGCCCGCAAGGGUUCCUUUGGAUGGGCCUGCGUCCCAUUAGGUAGUUGGUGAGGUAACGGCCCACCAAGCCGACGAUGGGUAGCUGGUCUGAGAGGACGAUCAGCCACACUGGAACUGAGACACGGUCCAGACUCCUACGGGAGGCAGCAGUGAGGAAUAUUGCACAAUGCCCGAAAGGGUGAUGCAGCGACGCCGCGUGAAGGAUGAAGGCCCUAUGGGUCGUAAACUUCUUUUGAGAGGGAAGAACGUAUCGCUACAGGCGAUAUUGACUGUACCUCUAGAAAAAGCAUCGGCUAACUACGUGCCAGCAGCCGCGGUAAUACGUAGGAUGCGAGCGUUGUCCGGAAUCACUGGGUGUAAAGGGAGCGCAGGCGGUUCGGCAAGUCAUUGGUGAAAUUCUCAGGCUUAACCUGGGGGCUGCCAAUGAUACUGCUGAUCUUGAGUGUGGAAGAGGUAGAUGGAAUUCCUGGUGUAGCGGUGAAAUGCGUAGAUAUCAGGAAGAACACCGAUGGCGAAGGCAGUCUACUGGUCCAUUACUGACGCUCAUGCUCGAAAGCGUGGGGAUCAAACAGGAUUAGAUACCCUGGUAGUCCACGCCCUAAACGAUGGAUACUCGAUGUCGUGCCGCAAGGCUCGGUGUCUAAGCAAACGCAAUAAGUAUCCCACCUGGGAAGUACGAUCGCAAGGUUGAA
Molecule: ribosomal RNA, 883 nt
Filed under: uncultured bacterium
Lineage: Bacteria
Description: bacterial SSU rRNA
Rfam family: Bacterial small subunit ribosomal RNA
Source: RNAcentral